GUUUGGCGUCCCUCGCCCAUUUCCUGUUGGGAAGGCCGUUGGUGUACAACAGAAACAAGAGGAUAUUAUCCGAACAUACCAGGCUUCAGCUAUCAUGAAGACUUGGAGUUUAUAUGCGUUGGUCAGCCCAUGCACAAUUUCCUAUCGAUGUCAAGGCACCCUGAAAAGCAGACACCGAUACAUCAGGAAUGAGGCUUCCUUCGCAUCAAGCCUGGGAUAAAUGAGCUGACUUUCGUCGUGAACCACAACUUUAGGCUGACUUCACUCGAAGAGGGACUGUGUGACACAGAGACACAUCAAGUAAUUUUAGAAACAAUUUAUCUAGAAUUUCAUUUGCUAAACCACUCUUUGUGAAAAGAAUUAAGAGGGUUUUCAAACUACUGAGUGAUGAUCAGUUGGAAGCAACAUUGUAUAUGGAAACUGAUACUACACCAAUGAGUGAACAUUUGAAAGCAGUUUACCAAAAAACUUAAAUAUAUUUUAUUUUAUUAUACACAUACAACUAUAUCAUUGUCUGUCAUUGGGAGCUGUCAAGUAAGACAAUUCAGAUUCCUUCCACAUUCUAUUAAAACCUUAGAUAAAGGAGUCUACUGUAUGAUAUUGUUUAUAGGGAGGGGUCUUGUGAGGCUCAUUCAUUACUGACAGCAAAACAGUUCAUUAGUGCCCUUGAUGUAGACAUCACAGCUAAGGCAUCAGAUAUUUUGAAAGCUAUUUAUUCAAUAUGAUGAUGAAGACUGGAAAACUACAUUGAAUUAUUAAAAUUUUUUUUUGUUAAAUAUUGCUGUAUGAAUACCAUAACAUUAUAUAAAGAAACUGACUUUUAUGUAAAAUUUCAACCUGUGUUCCAAGAUUUAAUAUGCUUUAAUUUUUUGUGUCUGUUAAUUGUUGAACAAUGUCAUAUUUAUUUAGAAUAAAAUAAUUAGUGGGGAAUAUUAUCAAAUGUAAUCAUGUAUUGGAGAAACAAUUUAAGCCCACUAAUAAGGUUCAGGUAUAUUAUAAGGGGUGAAAAAAUAAUGUUAACAGCUAUUCAUGUUUUACACAUAAGCACACAAACACACACCAUCAAAAUUAUUUUCAUGAAAUGUUUAGAUGUAAAAUUUUCAAGGGUUUUUCAGUAGUAUUUUCCAUAUACAUAUUGUGUUGCCCACAUUGAACACAUUUCAUAUUAAAAAUUUUUUUUUUGGUCGAUAGUAGUAUCCAUGACUAUCCAUUUAAACUCUAAUAAUCAUUUAUAACUUCACUGUACAAUAAUUGAGAGCCACUCGUUCUUUAAACCUCGUUCAGAGACGCCGAUAUUUCUUACGAUAAUUCUUGAAAUUUCUUGGUGUUUAAUUGUUCUUGUUUCUUAAUCGGAGUUUCGUUGGAAUAACGAUCGUUAGCCCGGGUUGCCGUCGUGCUACCACAUAAGCGGUUUCUGAGGACAGAGGAGUCUGCUGUCGCAUGGUCGCAGAGACAUUUAACGCCAAGUGGGCGCGCGUGGCAAUUACGCGACGAGUGCCCGUAAAGUUUGGAUCGGUGGCACUGCCCGAGAGUGCCACGUUUAUAAGGGGCUUCGACAGUUACCCCAGAUAGGCCGCAAACGGUGCGGAGACUUGAGGCAAUCCGUUGGCCUUCCGCGGUGUAUAGAAUGGAAUGGUAUACACCAUAUUGUAUGGAAACUUGUCGCGACCGCGUUGCACCCGGUACACACUUAUUAUCGGGUAUGCUUGCCUGAUGAGGUCGUCCUUGACUAGCUCGGCAUCGAGCUUCUUGGGUACUCCGCGGAGUUCGCGUUCCUCCUGGAGCGCAUAAGUGUUGAUAGCUUAGGCGCUCCUUUCGGAGGUGGGCUGUCAGCGCCCUAUGGUCGUCCGGUGUGACCACCUUAAUUUGUAUUGCGAUGUUGCGCGCAUGGACGAAGUUCACGUUUUGUGCCUUGCAGACACGGGAUACGCGAUCCCACGCGGUCCUAUCUUGUAGGAUGACCGGCGGCAGCGCGGCAAUUAUGCGGACGGGCGCGGGCUUGGGGCGUGGCGAUGGGGUUGCGCGGCGGGCGUGAUUACGGUCUUAGGCCGCGACGCGUUCGCGGCCUUGGGUUGUUUCGGCGCCGUGGACGGUUCCACAGCGCGGGAGCGUUUUUUGCCGCGCGCGGCGGACUCGUACUCCAUUUCCGGCUCGAUCUCGGAGCCGGAGCUAGCGGCCUCGGAGGACACGAUCGAUGCGGGCGGGAAAGCAGUGACUCGAGAAUCGUCGGGACAUUCGCGGCGGCGGCGAUCGGUGCGUGGGGCUGGGUCGACAAGCUGGCCUUGUAGGCCCUAAACUGACUCAUAAUGUCCGGGCAAAAUUCUCGGACGAAUUGGACGAACAUCGCGGGGUUGUCGUCCGCCAUGUUGAUGUCGGUUGCCCAGGGGGGGCGUUCCCGGGCAAAAUGUAACUCGCCGAAAGGCGAGUCCCCUGAAUAGGAAUUGACCCCUGCGCUGUACUAGCCAGCAGUUAAUUGCACGUUCAGCGCUUGUUGUGGCAUAUUCUCACAACCUAUUGGGGCCCCACCUUCCCAUAUUUUCCACCCCAAUCCCAGCUGAUUGCCGUUUUCACGGCAUAGGCACUCCCCCUCCUGCAAAUGAACUGCUGGCUGGUAUAGCGCAGGGGGUCAAUUCCCACUCAGGGGAUUCGCCUUUCGGCGAGUUUUUUUAAGUCCCGGGGACGCCCCCCCUGGGCACCUCCAACGAUGUGUGAUGAAGACGACCCCGCGAUGUUCGCGAAAUUCGUCCGGGAAUUUUGCCCGGACAUAAUGUCCAAAUUCCGGGCCUAUAAGGCCAGCCUUAUAACGAACGCACCGAUCGCCGCCGCCGCGAAUGUACUCGAGUCGCCGCUUGCCCCUCCCCCAACACUGCGCCCGCGUCAAUCGCGUCAUCCGCGGCCUCGAGCUCCGGCUCCGGCUCCGACACCGAGUCGGAAAUGGACUUCGAGACGUCCGACAGCCAACACGGAACCUCGGAUGGGUUCACGACCGUAGCGCGCGGCAAAAAACGCGCCCGCGCUGUGGAAUCGUCCACAGCACCCAAACAAUCAAAGGCCGCAAACGCGUCGCGGCCUAAGACCGUCGUAACUCCGACUCACCCCGCCGCGCUCCGAGCCCGCACCCGUCCACAAAAUUCCCGCGCCGCCGCCGUUUAUCCUUCAGGAUAGGACCGCGUGGGAUUGCGUAUCCCGUGCCUGCAAGGCACAAAACGUGAACUUCGUCCAUGCGCGUAACAUCGCAAUACAAAUAGGUGGCCACACCGGACGACCAUAGGGCGCUGACGCCCACCUCCGAAAGGAGCGCCUAAGCUAUCACACUAAUGCACUCCAGGAGGAAUGCGAACUCCGCGGAGUACCCAAGAAGCUCGAUGCCGAGCUAGUCAAGGACGACCUCAUCAGGCAAGCAUACCCGAUAAUAAGUGUGCACCGGGUGCACAGCGGUCGCGACAAGUUUCCAUACAAUAUGGUACCUACUCGUCGCGUUCGAACCCACCGCGGAAGGCAAACGGAUCGCCUCAGUCUCCGUACCGUUUGCGGUCUAUCUGGGGUCACCGUCGAGGCCCCCCACAAAAAAGGCACUCCCGGGCAGUGCCAUAGGUGCCAGCUCUGUGGCCAUUCCGCACGCAAUUGCCACGCGCGUCCGCGGUGCGUAAAAUGCCUCGGCGAGAGCCGACCGGUCGCGGGUCAAAGAAACCACGACCGAACCGCCGAGCUGUGCUCUGCCAAAAGCAGGGUCACACGGCCAACUACCGCGGAUGCCCCAAGGCCCCGCGGAAGUGCCCGGCCAACGCGCGCCCCAAAACCGCCGGCUCUAAGACUUUUGAGUCCCGCGCGCCGAAACCUGCUUUCGUGGCGGCUCCGGUGCCCACCGUCUUCGCGUGGGCUAAACCGCUGCCGCUCACGAUGGCAGGUGAGCCAUCGGCACCCCAACCCCUGCUCGCGCCCCGCGUCGUUCCCGCGCCCGUUUAACGUUUAACGAGACCACUUUAUAACUUUCCCAAUUGCUUGUUUAUGUUACUUUCCAUUGCAUUAAAAUGUUCUGUUUAAUUCUACGUUGCCUACGGUUUUAUGAUUUAAUAAUAAUAUUUUAACAUCUUGAUUAUUGAAACCAUUUAUAAUGUCAUUAUUGUUUUAUUUUUAACACUUAUUUCUGUUUUAAUGAGCGAGUUUAUCGCAUUUGUUAUUCGUCUGUACAAAGUCUUAGUUUUCUAUGGGUAGAAUCACCAGUCUUCGCAGGACUCUGCCCGAGGUUAUAAUGUCUACGUUAUCCAGCUGUUUCGUGUGACGGUGUCGUACUCUUUAAGCGUUCCUGACGUGGCUACCGGACCACCUAGCAAUAAUUAGUUCGGGAUCGUUCGCAGUGUCCGAGACGUGGGUGUGUGGUCGACUUUUAACUGUAAAUUCCACUUCUUGACUUCCGGUAUUGCUGUUCACGCCAUUUUUCAAAGUCCGUGAAUGGUGCUCCGGAAAGGAUGGACAUCCAGGCGAUCGUCUGUUUUGCCGCUUCUUCUGCUGUUGCGUCGUCGAUGGCUUAGCGCGAUUCCAUUACCGUUCCUUUCGGGAUGGUGCCGUUGUCCGACCUAUCCACGUCGAACAACCUUGGAGGGUUGCUCGCUCGGUAUCGCUACUUAUAAUCCCUUUAAGGUAUGGGACACGAGCUCACUACUCGAGUUCAAUGAAUUCGGUGACCUAGGGUUGGAUGCUGGUGGUAGCUUCCAGUAGCAAGUACACUAGUUGUAGAUGCGUAGGAAGGGCGUCGACUGUGACUGGUGGUGACGAGUCGAGCAGCGUGUUGUCGCAGUGUGUCGCUGAGGCGGAGGUUUUGCUCGUGAGGGCGGGCACAAACGUCAUCCUCCUAUGAAGUCGCGCGUCUCGGGGGGGGGGGGGGUGCGAGGUCGAGUUCACGGACGGACGCGGUGGAAUGCUAUUAAGUUGUUGAGGCGAGACGCCGGAGCUUGCCGCUGGUGGCAGACCAGGAGCCCAAGCCGGCAGGAGCAACGUGCUUAGUCCGAGGAGUCCUCAUGGACGCAGUAGUGACGGGAGGCAGCCAUUUGAAGUGCGUACUAUUAGAGUGGGUCCGAGCACCGGUGCACACGACUUCACUCGACGGCUGUCUGAGUACAAGUUCAGCUGCUACAUAUUACUGGAGCUUACUUUGCACACACACACACACACACAUAUAUAAAUUAAAAUCUGUCAGCAAUUGACGGGGUUAACUAAUUACUAAUUACUACGUUACUUUACUCUUAUAGUAUUUAAUUUUAAAUUAAAAUUAGAAUCCGAUAGCGCUAACAGCAAUAUACAGUUAAGUAAAAAAACUUAAACCUAAAAAUAAUAACUCAAUGAAAUGUCAUCAUUACUUCUAUCUAUUCCAAAAACUGUCUCUUUAUGUUAUUAGUUAAUGUAAUAAAAAUGCGAAAUAUUAACUUAUGUGAUGUAGUAUUUUUUCUAAACUCAUGCUAAGUGGGGUGAGACGAUGAGAUGCAACACGGUUUGAUGUUAAUUGUGACAAAUUUAUAAACAAAUGUUAUGGGAAAGAAAAUUUUUGUUUGCUAACGCUUCAUUUCACUACUAAUUAACCUGUCAAUUAUUCGUUCUGGUGCUUGAAUAAAAUGGAUUGGACUAAACAUAUUAGUGUUGGAAAUUGUUGUUGAAUGCAGUGUCUUAUAUUUAUUUAUAAAUGAAUGUCCAUUCGAAGAAAAUUGUGAUAAUCUCAACAUUAAAAUAAUUCAUAAAAAACUGAUUAUAGAUAAUGUGACUGUUUUCCUUCCUUCAAAUCACAUACUUUAACUGUUACAUAAAUAGUUAAUUACCUACGUAGAUAAUUAGGAAAGACGAAACGUAAACACGGUAUUAUUAUUUCUAUUAAUUUUCUUGGGUUUUUUUUUGUUAUUGCUUGAAUAAUAUUGUAAGAGUUUGUCAAAUCUUCUAUUAAAUGUUUUAAAAGUU
Long non-coding RNA from Bombyx mori (domestic silkworm), 5946 nucleotides. RefSeq lists it as uncharacterized. The transcript is spliced from 2 exons. Lineage: Eukaryota; Metazoa; Arthropoda; Insecta; Lepidoptera; Bombycidae. The record is from RefSeq and is a predicted model, not a curated record.